RNAcentral lists this ribosomal RNA (253 nucleotides) under uncultured bacterium. RNAcentral describes it as "partial 16S ribosomal RNA". It matches the Rfam family "Bacterial small subunit ribosomal RNA", at positions 524 to 776 of the family's 1533-position model. The record is from RNAcentral.
UACGAAGGGUGCAAACGUUGCUCGGAAUCAUUGGGCGUAAAGCGCACGUAGGCGGCUUUGCAAGUCGGAUGUGAAAUCCCGUGGCUCAACCAUGGACGUGCAUUCGAAACUGCAAAGCUUGAGUAUGGAAGAGGGUCGCGGAAUUCCCGGUGUAGAGGUGAAAUUCGUAGAUAUCGGGAGGAACACCAGUGGCGAAGGCGGCGACCUGGGCCAAUACUGACGCUGAGGUGCGAAAGCGUGGGGAGCAAACAGG